UGGGGAAUAUUGCACAAUGGGCGCAAGCCUGAUGCAGCCAUGCCGCGUGUAUGAAGAAGGCCUUCGGGUUGUAAAGUACUUUCAGCGGGGAGGAAGGUGUUGUGGUUAAUAACCACAGCAAUUGACGUUACCCGCAGAAGAAGCACCGGCUAACCCCGUGCCAGCAGCCGCGGUAAUAGGGAGGGUUCAACGGUUAAUCGGAAUUACCGGGCGUAAAGCGCACGCAGGCGGUCUGUCAAGUCGGAUGUGAAAUCCCCGGGCUCAACCUGGGAACUGCAUCCGAAACUGGCAGGCUUGAGUCUUGUAGAGGGGGGUAGAAUUCCAGGUGUAGCGGUGAAAUGCGUAGAGAUCUGGAGGAAUACCGGUGGCGAAGGCGGCCCCCUGGACAAAGACUGACGCUCAGGUGCGAAAGCGUGGGGAGCAAACA
This 427-nucleotide ribosomal RNA is filed under the name uncultured bacterium. Its description in RNAcentral is "partial 16S ribosomal RNA". It matches the Rfam family "Bacterial small subunit ribosomal RNA", at positions 355 to 774 of the family's 1533-position model. The record is from RNAcentral.